This 468-nucleotide ribosomal RNA is filed under the name uncultured bacterium. Its description in RNAcentral is "partial 16S ribosomal RNA". It matches the Rfam family "Bacterial small subunit ribosomal RNA", at positions 28 to 507 of the family's 1533-position model. The record is from RNAcentral.
GACGAACGCUGGCGGCGUGCUUAACACAUGCAAGUCGAACGGAAAGGCCCUGCUUUUGUGGGGUGCUCGAGUGGCGAACGGGUGAGUAACACGUGAGUAACCUGCCCUUGACUUUGGGAUAACUUCAGGAAACUGGGGCUAAUACCGGAUAGGAGCUCCUGCUGCAUGGUGGGGGUUGGAAAGUUUCGGCGGUUGGGGAUGGACUCGCGGCUUAUCAGCUGGUUGGUGGGGUAGUGGCUUACCAAGCCUUUGACGGGUAGCCGGCCUGGGAGGGUGACCGGCAACAUUGGGACUGAGAUACGGCCCAGACUCCUACGGGAGGCAGCAGUGGGGAAUAUUGCACAAUGGGCGGAAGCCGGAUGCAGCAGCGCCGCGUGCGGGAUGACGGCCUUCGGGUUGUAAACCGCUUUCGCCUGUGACGAAGCGUGAGUGACGGUAAUGUGUAAAGAAGCACCGGCUAACUACGUG